This is a long non-coding RNA of Erinaceus europaeus (western European hedgehog), 1290 nucleotides long. RefSeq lists it as uncharacterized. The transcript has 2 exons. The record is from RefSeq and is a predicted model, not a curated record. NCBI's taxonomy places the organism in Eukaryota, Metazoa, Chordata, Mammalia, Eulipotyphla, Erinaceidae.
GAUACAUGUGCUUCUGAGAGUCAAACUCUGAGCUUCCAAAUCCACAUACCUGAGCACCAAACGCUUUACUCACCACACCGCCUCCUGCACAGUACACUUCUUUGUAUAUGUAAAGACAAAUACAAGGUUAACUUUUUUUUUGCCUCCAGGGUUACUUCGGAAGCUUGGUGCCUGCAUCACGAAUCCACUGUUCCUGGAGACCAUUUUUUUCCUCUUUUGUUGCCUUGUUGUUUUAUCACUAUUGUGGUUAUUAUUGUCGUUGCUGUCGUUGGCUAGGACAGAGAGAAAUCAAGAGAGGAGGGGAAGAUAGAGGGGGAGAGAAAAGAGGAAGACACCUGCAGACCUGCUUCACCGCCUGUGUAGCGACUCCCCUGCAGGUGGAAAGCCGGGGGCUCAAACCAGGAUCCUUACGCCGGUCCUUGCGCUUAACCCACUGCCCUACCGCCUGACUCCCAAGUAUUUUUAUUUUAAUGAGAAAAAGACUAGAGCACUGCUCAGGUGUGGUUUAUAGUGGGUCAGCUUGAACUUGGGAAAUGAGAGCCUCAGGCAUGAGGUUUUUUUUUUUUGCCUCCAGGGUUAUUGCUGGGCUUGGUGCUAGCACUAUGAAUCCACUGCCCCUAGGCCAUUUUUUCUAUUUUAUUGGACAGGACAGAGAGACAUUGAGGAUGGGGAGACAGGUACCUACCUGCAGGCCAGCUUCACUACUUGUGAAGUUUUCCUCCCUACAGUUGGGGGGGGGGGCUCAAACCUAGAUCCUUAUGCUUAGUACUAUGUGCGCUUAAGUGGGUAUGGUUCCGUGAUGAGAGGCUCUUUCAGUAACUAAGAUGCUAUCUUGCCAGUCCUGAGGAUUGACUUUUUUUUUGCCUCCAGGGUUAUCGCUGGGGCUCGGUGCCUGCACCACGAAUGCACUGCUCCUGGAGGCCAUUUUUUUCCCUUUUGUUGCCCUUGUUGUUACUACUAUUGUUGUCGUUGUUGUUGUAUAGGAUAGAGAGAAAUCGAGAGGGGAGGGGAAGACAGGGGGAGAGAAAGAGAGACACCUGCAGACCUGCUUCACCACUUGUGAAUCGACUCCCCUGCAGGUGGGGAUCUGGGGGCUCAAACCUGGAAUCCUUAUGCCAGUCCUUGUGCUUAACCCGCUGCACUACCAUCAGCGACUGGUGAACAUGUCAUGAGCCUUCCCUGCAAACAGCUAUUAAGUAAGGAGCGGUAUCGGGUUGACUGUGUGUUGUGUGAAUUGUGUGACCUUUCUCUGGCAUCUAAAAUAAGUAAAGAAUUAUUGCUUGACCCCGA